Neltuma alba is the source of this 639-nucleotide RNA transcript. It is a transcript of the gene named receptor-like protein 43, with no coding region annotated. The transcript has 2 exons. The record is from RefSeq and is a predicted model, not a curated record. NCBI's taxonomy places the organism in Eukaryota, Viridiplantae, Streptophyta, Magnoliopsida, Fabales, Fabaceae.
UAGAGUUGUAAGCCAGCUCUAGUAAAGAAACUAAUCAUGGGUCUGUGCGAAAAUACCAUAUUGUUCAUUUUGAUUUGCUCACUCACCUCAUCACUAAAUCUCUUAUGCAAAUGCAAAGCAUUUGAUCAAGUUCUUUGCAUUCCUAGUAAGCGACAAGCCCUGCUUAAUUUCAAGCAACAUCUUCAUGGUCCUUCAAACAGCCUUGCCACUUGGUCUGAUGAUAACACAAAUUGCUGCAACUGGACAUCAGUUUCUUGCAAUCAUGAAACAGUUUCCAAGUUUCCUUUGUUCAAUGAAGAGCUUGACAUAUUUGAACCUCUCUUAUGCGGGAUUCAGUGGAAGCAUUCCUCACCAAAUAGGAAAUCUCUCUGGUUUGCUCCAUCUUGACCUUGGAGGAGAUAAUUAUUUUACUAGAAAGAUUCCCCAUCAAAUUGGUAAUUUAUCAAAUCUACUCUAUCUCGAUCUCUCUGGUGGUGAUCAAUAUGACGUGGAUCGGAUAUCAUUGUAUGAAGAAAAUCUGCAGUGGAUAUCAUCUCUUUCUUCACUUUAAUAUCUUCAAUUGAGUGUUGUUAAUCUGUCUAAUGCCUUUGAUUGGUUGCUUGUUUUGCAAUCUCUUCCCUUAUUGACAGAGUUACACCU